Molecule: ribosomal RNA, 315 nt
Filed under: uncultured Tremellales
Lineage: Eukaryota; Fungi; Basidiomycota; Tremellomycetes; Tremellales
Description: eukaryotic LSU rRNA
Rfam family: 5.8S ribosomal RNA (bases 1-128)
Source: RNAcentral
UUGCAUCGAUGAAAGAACGCAGCGAAAUGCGAUAAGUAAUGUGAAUUGCAGAAUUCAGUGAAUCAUCGAAUCUUUGAACGCAAAUUGCGCCCUUUGGUAUUCCGAAGGGCAUGCCUGUUUGAGUGUCUUAUAAACCUCACCCCUAAUGUUUUAUUACAAUAGGUUGGUGCUUUGGGUGUUGCCAUUUACCUGGCUCGCCUUAAAUGACUAAGUGGAAUGCGUAAUAAGUUCUCGCAACCCUCCACUCUAAUACAAUUUAUAUUCUGACCUCAAAUCAGGUAGGACUACCCGCUGAACUUAAGCAUAUCAAUAAGC